RNAcentral lists this long non-coding RNA (658 nucleotides) under Anas platyrhynchos platyrhynchos (common mallard). Its description in RNAcentral is "lncRNA (ENSAPLG00000024790.1)". The record is from RNAcentral. Lineage: Eukaryota; Metazoa; Chordata; Aves; Anseriformes; Anatidae.
CAAGAACUACUUGUUUCCUCUACAAGAGGUUUCCCAGUCAAUGGGAUUUGAAGUAUAAUUCCCAGCUCCAGCAGCUUGAUAUCACAUCAAUAGGCCUUUUGGCCCAAUUACUUCUUGUGAAAUCAAAGUUCAAACAGACUACAGAGAGUCAUGCAAACAGCAAGAUGUUAUCCAGCUGUGGGCACAGAUGUGGUAAAGGUAACAAAGCUAAUAAUAAUGCAGAAAACAUUGAGGAUGUCAUCUGAUUUUGGUUUGGGACUAAUGAGGGGAAAAUGGCUAAUGAGAUAUUUAUCACCUUCACAGACCCAUGGAGGAUCCAAAAAGUCAUUAAUCUCGUAUUACUCCUGCUGCUGUCCAUAUCGAUAGGUCCCAUGGAAGCUGGGGAGCCCCUUCAGCAUGCCAAAAAGCCCAACACCACAGCAGGAAAAUCCACGGCAAGGUGCUGGUUUCUCCUUACCCAGCUGCCUCCUGCAUCCCUGGGCUCCAGCAUCUGCCGCGGGCAGGCGGCCGGGCGACUCCAUCCCCUUGGCGACCCAUGGGACCACAGGGGACACGAGCCGAAACACACUGAACCUUGAAACUAAAGAAGCCUCAAACCUGUCAUUAAAGCAGCUGCAUUGGCAAUAAAUUUAGUAUUUAAAGAAGUUCGUCGACUGUU